Molecule: ribosomal RNA, 471 nt
Filed under: uncultured organism
Description: partial 16S ribosomal RNA
Rfam family: Bacterial small subunit ribosomal RNA
Source: RNAcentral
ACUCCUGCGGGAGGCAGCAGUGGGGAAUAUUGCACAAUGGGCGCAAGCCUGAUGCAGCCAUGCCGCGUGUAUGAAGAAGGCCUUCGGGUUGUAAAGUACUUUCAGCGGGGAGGAAGGCGAUAAGGUUAAUAACCUUGUCGAUUGACGUUACCCGCAGAAGAAGCACCGGCUAACUCCGUGCCAGCAGCCGCGGUAAUACGGAGGGUGCAAGCGUUAAUCGGAAUUACUGGGCGUAAAGCGCACGCAGGCGGUCUGUCAAGUCGGAUGUGAAAUCCCCGGGCUCAACCUGGGAACUGCAUUCGAAACUGGCAGGCUAGAGUCUUGUAGAGGGGGGUAGAAUUCCAGGUGUAGCGGUGAAAUGCGUAGAGAUCUGGAGGAAUACCGGUGGCGAAGGCGGCCCCCUGAACAAAGACUGACGCUCAGGUGCGAAAGCGUGGGGAGCAAACAGGAUUAGAAACCCUAGUAGUCCCA